Molecule: long non-coding RNA, 1051 nt
Filed under: Capsicum annuum
Lineage: Eukaryota; Viridiplantae; Streptophyta; Magnoliopsida; Solanales; Solanaceae
Description: long non-coding RNA (CANN_LNC008275)
Source: RNAcentral
CUACAACGAGGUAUGUAAAGCAUACUCUAACAAUGUUCUUUGGCAUGAAAACACCAAUGUUCCAUCAAGUAAGAUUCCGAGGUUGUCCAAAAACAUGUAUUGUUCUACGUUACCAACGAAGUUGUUUCCAUUCUAUAAAGUGUCAAAAUGUUUCAUUGAUAUACCAAAAGGCUCUUAUUUCAUUGUUGUGAUAUUGAUGAUUCUGAAACACAUUGUUGAUGUACCAAUGAGUCUUUAUUACAUCGUUAUUGUAUAGAAGGUCUAUUACUUGGUUCCUAUUGAUGUAUCAUUGUUUCAAAGUAUCAAAAAUGUGGUGGCGACCGAAAUAACAAUCUCAAAGAUUAAUUGAACUAAGUGAUGAAAGUUCUCUCUUAUCGGGUGGUAUCCCAGGGGCAUAAGCCUAGCAUGGGUCGAUCCCUAUUUCAUGUGUUUAUGGGUGGUAUCCCAGGGGCAUAAGCCUAGCAUGGGUCGAUCCCAGUUGAUAUGUACUGGAGGCAUCCUAAUGGUCACAGUACAGUACAGUAAUGAUUACAAAGACGAUAAGAACGAAGGUAAAGUGAUUGAAUAAAUACAAUGUACAGGUUGUCACAAGUUCUAGUAAGUGUGGUCCACUCCUAUUACGACUUAUUCACUUGUUUCUGAUUUCUAUUGAGCUCCUAUAUCAUAUGUGAUUAUUUACAGCUUUACAUACUCAGUACAUAUUUCGUACUGACGUCCCUCACGGGGGACCUGCAUUUCAUGCUGCAGGCACAGGUACCUCAGCUCAUACACCGCACAAGUAGGAGCCAGGUCAUACAGCUAUUGUUGGUGAGCUCCAGUUUGCUUCGGAGCUUUCUGAGUCGGUUCCUUAUGUUUUGUUAUUGUACAUGAGUCAUGUGUGGGCGGGGGUUUAUCCCGACCCUAGUUAUAUCAUGUAUAUCCUAGAGGCUUUGUAGACAUAAGGAAGGGUAAAGUCAUGGAAGUUUAUAUAGUAACGUUAUAUUUGUAUAUGUGGUGGCCCCGACGGCCAAGUAUUAUAUAUAUAUAUUUGUGCGUGUUGUGCUGAUACAGG